UGAUUACGGUUUUGUUUAUUAUAAGAGAUCCAAAGGUCAUCUACUAAACACCUUUGGGGUCUAUCUAAAAUGUAAUCUGGUCUUACUCUAAAAGAUAUGUUACUCUCAGGGUAAGCAAUUAAAUUAAAUGGUCCGAAGUGAAUUCUUUCCAUUGUCUCUAAAGAUUCUAGUGGUCUAAAAUUUAAAUUACCUAACAUUGUCUGUUGAUACAACUCUGAAGACGAAGCUACACCUUUGCCUUUGUCUGCAGGAGGUUGUCCUGUUGGUCUCAAGCUGAAAACAAAUGGUUAAACUUAUUUAUUUAUUCCCAGUUGUAGUCUACUUAACUGGUCUGCUAAUUCGUUUUCUUUACCUUUUAUAUGUUCAAAUACUAUAUUCUUG
Molecule: long non-coding RNA, 381 nt
Filed under: Capsicum annuum
Lineage: Eukaryota; Viridiplantae; Streptophyta; Magnoliopsida; Solanales; Solanaceae
Description: long non-coding RNA (CANN_LNC017589)
Source: RNAcentral